AGGGAAUCUUCCACAAUGGACGCAAGUCUGAUGGAGCAACGCCGCGUGAGUGAAGAAGGUUUUCGGACCGUAAAGCUCUGUUGUUGGUGAAGAAGGAUAGAGGUAGUAACUGGCCUUUAUUUGACGGUAAUCAACCAGAAAGUCACGGCUAACUACGUGCCAGCAGCCGCGGUAAUACGUAGGUGGCAAGCGUUGUCCGGAUUUAUUGGGCGUAAAGCGAGCGCAGGCGGAAGAAUAAGUCUGAUGUGAAAGCCCUCGGCUUAACCGAGGAAUUGCAUCGGAAACUGUUUUCUUGAGUGCAGAA
This 304-nucleotide ribosomal RNA is filed under the name uncultured bacterium. RNAcentral describes it as "partial 16S ribosomal RNA". It matches the Rfam family "Bacterial small subunit ribosomal RNA", at positions 356 to 653 of the family's 1533-position model. The record is from RNAcentral.